Molecule: non-coding RNA, 72 nt
Organism: Merluccius polli (Benguela hake)
Lineage: Eukaryota; Metazoa; Chordata; Actinopteri; Gadiformes; Merlucciidae
Source: the annotation of a GenBank genome assembly
GGAUAGUCUAGUGGUGGUUAGGGUGUUUGGCUCCCAGCUGAAAGGGUCUGGGUUCGAACCCCAAUGUCCAUG